AUUCCCUAGUAACUGCGAGUGAAGCGGGAAAAGCUCAAAUUUAAAAUCUGGCGGUCCUUGUGGCCGUCCGAGUUGUAAUUUAGAGAAGUGUUAUCCGCGCUGGACCGUAUACAAGUCUCCUGGAAUGGAGCGUCAUAGAGGGUGAGAAUCCCGUCUUUGAUACGGACUGCCAGGGCAUUGUGAUGCGCUCUCAAAGAGUCGAGUUGUUUGGGAAUGCAGCUCAAAAUGGGUGGUAAAUUCCAUCUAAAGCUAAAUAUUGAGGAGAGACCGAUAGCGAACAAGUACCGUGAGGGAAAGAUGAAAAGAACUUUGGAAAGAGAGUUAAACAGUACGUGAAAUUGCUGAAAGGGAAACGCUUGAAGUCAGUCGCGUUGUUCAGGACUCAGCCUUGCUUUGCUUGGUGUACUUCCUGUUCGACGGGUCAGCAUCAAUUUUGGUCGGUGGAUAAAGGCUUAGAGAAUGUGGCAUCCUCGGAUGUGUUAUAGCUCUGGGUCGCAUACAUCGGCUGGGAUUGAGGAACUCAACACGCCGCAAGGCCGGGUACUUGUACCACGUACGUGUUUAGGAUGCUGGCAUAAUGGCUUUAAUCGACCCGUCUUGAAACACGGACCAAGGAGUCUAACAUGCCUGCGAGUGUUUGGGUGGAAAACCCGAGCGCGUAAUGAAAGUGAAAGUUGAGAUCCCUGUCGUGGGGAGCAUCGACGCCCGGAGCAGACCUUUUGUGACGCAUCCGCGGUAGAGCAUGUAUGUUGGGACCCGAAAGAUGGUGAACUAUGCCUGAAUAGGGUGAAGCCAGAGGAAACUCUGGUGGAGGCUCGUAGCGAUUCUGACGUGCAAAUCGAUCGUCGAAUUUGGGUAUAGGGGGCGAAAGACUAAUCGAACCAUUGUUACUUGGUGGUUAAGAGGCAGCUGAAAGGCUAGCCUAGUAAGAGUUGAGGAUUGCGACACCGUCAAUUGCGGGGGACGUCCUUAGAGCCUUUGCUACCGCUUCUAUGCUGAAAAAGUGUAGUUGCACCAGAUAAUGACCUCGGGUAUGGUAUUAACGCAGAGGAUGGAAUAAUCCGCCAGCUAGUCUAACGAUAGUAACGACCCAUACUGGAAUGCA
RNAcentral lists this ribosomal RNA (1105 nucleotides) under Mycena renati. Its description in RNAcentral is "LSU rRNA". It matches the Rfam family "Eukaryotic large subunit ribosomal RNA", at positions 74 to 1130 of the family's 3401-position model. Lineage: Eukaryota; Fungi; Basidiomycota; Agaricomycetes; Agaricales; Mycenaceae. The record is from RNAcentral.